This 253-nucleotide ribosomal RNA is filed under the name uncultured bacterium. RNAcentral's name for it is "partial 16S ribosomal RNA". It matches the Rfam family "Bacterial small subunit ribosomal RNA", at positions 524 to 776 of the family's 1533-position model. The record is from RNAcentral.
UACGUAGGGUGCGAGCGUUGUCCGGAAUUAUUGGGCGUAAAGGGCUCGUAGGCGGUUUGUCGCGUCGGGAGUGAAAACACCGGGCUUAACUCGGUGCUUGCUUUCGAUACGGGCAGACUAGAGGCAUGCAGGGGAGAACGGAAUUCCUGGUGUAGCGGUGAAAUGCGCAGAUAUCAGGAGGAACACCGGUGGCGAAGGCGGUUCUCUGGGCAUUACCUGACGCUGAAGAGCGAAAGUGUGGGGAGCGAACAGG